CCCUUAGAUGUUCUGGGCCGCACGCGUGCUACACUGAGUAAAUCAAUGGGUAAGGGAACACGAAAGUGCAACCUAAUCUUGAAAUUUGCUCGUGAUGGGGAUCGACGGUUGCAAUUUUCCGUCGUGAACGAGGAAUACCUUGUAGGCGCGUGUCAUCAUCACGCGCCGAAUACGUCCCUGCCCUUUGUACACACCGCCCGUCGCUCCUACCGAUUGAGUGAUCCGGUGAGGCUCUGGGACCUGGACGGAAAGAGCGCUUCGCUUGUUCUGUUUGGGAAACUUGGUCGAACCUUAUCAUUUAGAGGAAGGAGAAGUCGUAACA
RNAcentral lists this ribosomal RNA (322 nucleotides) under uncultured eukaryote. RNAcentral describes it as "partial 18S ribosomal RNA". It matches the Rfam family "Eukaryotic small subunit ribosomal RNA", at positions 1470 to 1796 of the family's 1831-position model. The record is from RNAcentral.